This 490-nucleotide unclassified non-coding RNA is filed under the name plant metagenome. RNAcentral describes it as "partial contains small subunit ribosomal RNA and internal transcribed spacer 1". The record is from RNAcentral.
AAGUCGUAACAAGGUUUCCGUAGGUGACGUCCGAAAGGUUCGCCUGCUGGAGCUUUGGCCCAGCGACUCGAAACAAGUGCUACUCAGGUCGACUUCGGUCGGCAAUGUCACCACCGUGAGCCGGGGUCAGUCACCGGCAGCCCCCCGGUGUUCGCGGGGGGUUCACAGGUCAGAUGGUGCCAGCCGCCCCCCCGCGGGGGGCCGGGUCCAGACAUGAUCGGCCCCGGGGCGCCUCCACACGUGCCCCGGGAAUCAGCUGGAACCCUGCGGAAGGAUCGAUUCAAAGAGAGGGACGUUCGGCGUCCCCGGGGGUCUUCGGCCCCCGUCCUCUUCACCCCCGUGUUUAGCCGUUACCCACAUUCGUUGCUUGGCAGGCCCUGGGGUCGUGCUCAUGCCGCCCGGGGUUUCCCCGGGGGCGAGCGCCUCCGAAAGCCCGUUUAAAUUCCGUUGAAUCACCAUGCAGUCUGAGUGAAACAAAAUUCAAGCAAAA